RNAcentral lists this ribosomal RNA (991 nucleotides) under human gut metagenome. RNAcentral's name for it is "bacterial LSU rRNA". It matches the Rfam family "Bacterial large subunit ribosomal RNA", at positions 1637 to 2645 of the family's 2925-position model. The record is from RNAcentral.
GGUGCCCGUACCGCAAACCGACACAGGUAGGUAGGAAGAAGAUUCUAAGGCCAACGGGAGAAGGGUUGUUAAGGAACUCGGCAAAUUGACCCCGUAACUUCGGGAGAAGGGGUGCUCCAGAGAUGGAGCCGCAGAGAAUCGGCCCAAGCAACUGUUUACCAAAAACACAGGUUUGUGCUAAAUCGAAAGAUGACGUAUACGAGCUGACGCCUGCCCGGUGCUGGAAGGUUAAGAGGAGAUGUGCAAGCAUUGAAUCGAAGCCCCAGUGAACGGCGGCCGUAACUAUAACGGUCCUAAGGUAGCGAAAUUCCUUGUCAGGUAAGUUCUGACCCGCAUGAAAGGCGUAAUGAUUUGGGCACUGUCUCAACAGCCCGCCCGGCGAAAUUGUAGUACCGGUGAAGAUGCCGGUUACCCGCGACAAGACGGAAAGACCCCAUGGAGCUUUACUGUAGCCUAAUAUUGGGUUUCGAUGUUGCAUGCACAGGAUAGAUGGGACACUGGGAAACAAUCGCUUUGGCGGUUGCGGAGUGGCCGUUGGGAUACCAUCCUUGCGAUAUUGGAAUUCUAACCUGCGGCUCUGAAUCGAGUCGGGGGACAUUGUUAGGUGGGCAGUUUGACUGGGGCGGUCGCCUCCUAAAAAGUAACGGAGGCGUUCAAAGGUUCGCUCAGCUUGAACGGAAAUCAAGCAAAAGAGUGCAAACGCAGAAGCGAGCCUAACUGCGAGACUGACGGGUCGAGCAGUAACGAAAGUUGGAGUUAGUGAUCCGGUGGUAUGUGAGUGGAAAUGCCAUCGCUCAACGGAUAAAAGUUACCCUGGGGAUAACAGGCUGAUCUCCCCCAAGAGUCCACAUCGACGGGGAGGUUUGGCACCUCGAUGUCGGCUCAUCGCAUCCUGGGGCUGUAUUCGGUCCCAAGGGUUUGGCUGUUCGCCAAUUAAAGCGGUACGCGAGCUGGGUUCAGAACGUCGUGAGACAGUUCGGUCCCUAUCUGU